RNAcentral lists this ribosomal RNA (1217 nucleotides) under uncultured Rhizaria. RNAcentral's name for it is "SSU rRNA". It matches the Rfam family "Eukaryotic small subunit ribosomal RNA", at positions 577 to 1804 of the family's 1831-position model. The record is from RNAcentral.
CGGUAAUUCCAGCUCCAAUAGCGUAUACUAAAGUUGUUGCAGUUAAAAAGCUCGUAGUUGGAUUUCUGCGGGGACGGAGCGGCCGGUCGCAACUUGCGACUCGAGCUAGCGCUUUCCCCGCAUCCUGCCGCGAACCGUGCUACCAUUAGUUUGGUGGCGCUGGGGAUCGGCUCGAUUACUUUGAGAAAAAUAGAGUGUUCAAAGCAGGCCACACGCCUUGAAUAAGUUAGCAUGGAAUAAUGACUAAGGACUUCGGUUCUAUUUUGUUGGUGUUCGGGACUGAAGUAAUGAUUGAUAGGGACAGUUGGGGCGGUCUGUAUUCCAAAGCGAGAGGUGAAAUUCUUAGACCUUCGGAAGACAAACAGCUGCGAAAGCGUUCCGCAAGGAUGUUCCCUUUGAUCAAGAACGAAAGUUGGGGGAUCGAAGACGAUCAGAUACCGUCGUAGUCUCAACUAUAAACUAUACCAGCUAGGGAUCGGUCAACGUUUAAUUAUUCGACUUGAUCGGCACCUUAUGAGAAAUCAAGGCAUCUGGGUUCCGGGGGGAGUAUGGUCGCAAGGCUGAAACUUAAAGGAAUUGACGGAAGGGCACCACCAGCCGUGGAGCCUGUGGCUUAAUUUGACUCAACACGGGAAAACUUACCAGGUCCAGACAUAGUAAGGAUUGACAGAUUGAUAGCUCUCUCUUGAUUCUGUGGGUGGUGGUGCAUGGCCGUUCUUAGUUGGUGGAGUGAUUUGUCUGGUUAAUUCCGUUAACGAACGAGACCCCAGCCUGCUAAAUAGCGCGGCUGAGCUUUGCUCGGUGCGAGCUUCUUAGAGGGACUAUGAUGCGCGAUAGCACAUGGAAGUUUGGGGCAAUAACAGGUCUGUGAUGCCCUUAGAUGUUCUGGGCCGCACACGGGCUACACUGGCGCCUGCAACGAGCAUAUCAGCUGGCCCGGGAGGGUCUUGGCUAAUCUUUUGAACCGGCGCCGUGCUUGGGAUUGACCUUUGCAAUUGUUGGUCAUGCAACGAGGAAUGCCUUGUAAACGCGAGUCAUCAGCUCGCAUUGAAUACGUCCCUGCCCUUUGUACACACCGCCCGUCGCUCCUAUCGAUGAAUGUUCCGAUGAAAUUUUCGGAGAGCGCCAGAGAACGGGGCUCUGCCUUGCAGAUCUGGAGGCUCAAAGUCACUUAAAUCUGAACAUUUCGAGGAAGGAGAAGUCGUAACAAGGUAACC